This 20-nucleotide microRNA is filed under the name Pristionchus pacificus. RNAcentral's name for it is "ppc-miR-8362-3p". Lineage: Eukaryota; Metazoa; Nematoda; Chromadorea; Rhabditida; Neodiplogasteridae. The record is from miRBase by way of RNAcentral.
CGAUGACAGCUUUAAAGAUA